RNAcentral lists this long non-coding RNA (294 nucleotides) under Amborella trichopoda. RNAcentral's name for it is "long non-coding RNA (ATRI_LNC004799)". The record is from RNAcentral. Lineage: Eukaryota; Viridiplantae; Streptophyta; Magnoliopsida; Amborellales; Amborellaceae.
AAUUUUUGAGGUGCGCACUAAUUUGAUUGUUUAGAGCUUUGGCUCUAUAUAAACUUUUUCCUUUAGUAAUUAAUUCGAGGAUAUUUUAUUUCGAUAUAUGGCCCCAAGAUCAAGCCCUAAUGUCAAUGUACAAUAUUUGGGUUAAGAGAGACAUUAUGUUUAGAGAAGAAUUCAUAUCAAUCGAUUUCAAAAAUCGAGUGUGAAUUUUCUUUAACAAGGGGAUAAUGAAGAAAAUUAAGAUAUGGGUAAUUCAAAAAUUUUAUUUUAUUUUUAUUUGGAUUUCCAUAGAUGUGG